Molecule: ribosomal RNA, 497 nt
Filed under: uncultured bacterium
Lineage: Bacteria
Description: partial 16S ribosomal RNA
Rfam family: Bacterial small subunit ribosomal RNA
Source: RNAcentral
GACGAACGCUGGCGGCGUGCCUAAUACAUGCAAGUCGAACGCUGAAGAGAGGAGCUUGCUCUUCUUGGAUGAGUUGCGAACGGGUGAGUAACGCGUAGGUAACCUGCCUUGUAGCGGGGGAUAACUAUUGGAAACGAUAGCUAAUACCGCAUAACAAUGGAUGACACAUGUCAUUUAUUUGAAAGGGGCAAUUGUUCCACUACAAGAUGGACCUGCGUUGUAUUAGCUAGUAGGUGAGGUAAUGGCUCACCUAGGCGACGAUACAUAGCCGACCUGAGAGGGUGAUCGGCCACACUGGGACUGAGACACGGCCCAGACUCCUACGGGAGGCAGCAGUAGGGAAUCUUCGGCAAUGGGGGCAACCCUGACCGAGCAACGCCGCGUGAGUGAAGAAGGGUUUCGGAUCGUAAAGCUCGGUUGUAAGUCAAGAACGGGUGUGAGAGUGGAAAGUUCACACUGUGACGGUAGCUUACCAGAAAGGGACGGCUAACUACGUG